GUGAGAGGCAGGCCUCGGGUGGGCAGUGGGAGAGAAAGAAGAUGCUAGAUAGUUCUAGUUCUUGGGCAGCUGGAGCCCUCAGCUUUCUCCUCCACCUGGAACAUGGAGAUGAUGAUAUUCAGGGAGCUAUUCAUACUGAAGCCACCAGGAAAGGAACACCAUUCUUAUGUCUGGAUUCCAGAGGGGAAAACUGAGGCAGAAGGGCAAACUUUGGUCUAGGACAGCCAAUAAAAGAAAACGAAGUAGGAUCCUUCUUUCAAGGGGAUUAGCCCCUGUUCGCUGAACGCCCCCCGACUGGGUACUUUCCGCUCCCUGAACAGCUUUGCCUUUUUGCAGCUUUUGAAGUAGCCCUUGAGCUGAGCAGUCAGGAAUCACAAGGUCAUGAGAAGUUAGGGUGGCCCUAGGUUGGUGACCAGCAACCACUGAGAACAAGCCCGGGCAGGCCUGGCAGAAAAAGAGAAAGGGGCACUGGUCUGACCCCAGAAAAGUGGGUGCUGCUUCUGGUUCCCAGGCUGCCGUGGCCAAAGGUCUGUUUGUGUUUCUCAGGUGUGGAGGCAAGUGCCCUGUAAUUCUGCAGCUCAUCUCCUCUGCCGUGGCCUGAUUCUAUGGGUCGGACCUCUACCUGCUUCCUCCCACAGGGCUGGAAGCCCAGACAUGGUCUACCCCACUUCCCUUGCCAGAUCCUCUGGCCUCUCUUCCCAGCCCAGGACCUGAAUUGCCUAGAUCGCAGCUCCCAGAAGGAGAGAGCUGCAGAGACGUCAGAUGGAGGCCAUAGAGUGAGGGCACUAAUUACUGUGCUGAGCUCCGAGCUGCCUAAUGAGGCCGGUUGGAUUUCCUGUUGUUCUGGCUUCCCAAGACCCUUAAAGGGCCAGCAUCGCACUAGGAGCGUGCCCGGGUGGGCCACCAACCGAUCUGGUGAGGGUGAGCCCAGAGGGGCUAUCCCUAGGCCCGGCCUGAAUGCCAAGGGCAGUGACAAGGGGCUGGUCCAGUACUUCCCGGCCACUCUCACGCCCUCCAUGAGGACCUGCUCAGAAGUGCCCGCUCCGGAAGCAGGAGCUUCAGAACUCUGCAGCCUGGCCAGAGCCUGGGGUGGGGAGGAGGGGGAGGCAAGGAGGCCAGCGCUGUAGAGGAAAGGCUGGUGAUGUCACCAGUGCCCAGACUGUGAGAACCGCUGUAGCAGCGGGCAGGAGGGAAGCGCCGUGACGUCCUGUUCCCCCCCUACCCUGGAAAAUAAACACUUGUUGUCUGAGCAGCCAGCGC
RNAcentral lists this long non-coding RNA (1260 nucleotides) under Equus caballus (horse). RNAcentral describes it as "lncRNA (ENSECAG00000048227.1)". The record is from RNAcentral. Lineage: Eukaryota; Metazoa; Chordata; Mammalia; Perissodactyla; Equidae.